This is a long non-coding RNA of Vombatus ursinus (common wombat), 1197 nucleotides long. RefSeq lists it as uncharacterized. The transcript is spliced from 2 exons. The record is from RefSeq and is a predicted model, not a curated record. NCBI's taxonomy places the organism in Eukaryota, Metazoa, Chordata, Mammalia, Diprotodontia, Vombatidae.
GCUUGGACAGACUGGGAGAUGGUGGAGGACAGAAGGGCCUGGCACGCUAUGGUCCGUGAGGUCAUGAAGAGCAGACGUAACAGAACGACUGAACGACAACAAAGAAAAACGACCUUAGAGCCCAACUCUUUCAUCUUACAGAUGAAGAAACUGAAGCCCUGGGAGGUGAUGCUGCUUGUACAAGGGCACACAGCCCGCUCUCUAUCCAUUUCCUCUCUGCAAAAAAGAAGUGGAAUUUCUCUGAGCUCAUCUUCUCAUCUACAGAAUGAAGAUAAAAGGACCAAUAGCACCCACACAGGACUUUUGGCAGCUGUGACAGAAGCUACCCACUUUCUAGGUCCACUUCAGUGUUUUUAUUGGGUCUUUUCCUUUCAGUUAAUGCUGGAUACAGACUUAAUGCUGGAGUGAGGCUGUGUUCAAUAAGUUAGGAGCCCAAAAUGCCACACCUCACCUUAGCCUAGAAAACUCAACAUGGCAGGUGAGCAGCGAGCUGGAUGUAGGUUCCAUAAAAUUGACAAGGCCCUCAGUAUUAGAUCUUUCAUCCUUCUGUCUCUAAGACAUCACACCCCUCUGGAGCUAAUUUCUAAAGUCCUUUGUAUUCUUGGUGCCUGGUACAUAGGAAGCAUUUAAUUUUACCAGCGUGUAUUUCCUGGAUCAUGUCUGUUAUGCUGAUGCCAGGCACAAGUGUCAUUUAAAGAAAACCUUCUUAACUAGUAGAACUGUCCCAGUUUUUUCCCACCUUUUCAAUGAGUGUGGUGGAGGAUGGGGAAGAAGAAGAUUUGGAACUAAAAUUAAAAUAAAACUCAUUAAAACAACAACAAUGAACUACCCCAGAGUAGAAGAGACUGUCUUGGGAAUUAGUUAUGUCAUAUUUGAGUUAUUCAAGUGAAGAGGGCAUAGGGCCUAGUCCCCUGAUUUCACUGGUUUAGGGAAAUGCCAGAGCCAGAUGAGGAAACUCCCCCUCUCAGUGCCAACCAGCCCCUUCUCUGCAACUUAUCAUCUUAAGAGGGUUACCCAGACCAACGAGUCACUUGACCAGGAUUACAUGGUUAGGAUGUGCCAGAGGCAGGAUUUGAACCCAGGUCUUCUGGCUUCCAGGCCGUCUCUCUAUCUGUUACCUUUUUCAGGGGCAAAUUGGACUCUGAGGACCCUUUCAAUUCUAUGAUACUUUGAAUAAAUGCUUGAUUGAUUAAUUGA